This 498-nucleotide ribosomal RNA is filed under the name uncultured bacterium. RNAcentral describes it as "partial 16S ribosomal RNA". It matches the Rfam family "Bacterial small subunit ribosomal RNA", at positions 28 to 523 of the family's 1533-position model. The record is from RNAcentral.
GACGAACGCUGGCGGCGUGCCUAACACAUGCAAGUCGAGCGGAGUCAGUAAGAGGAAGUUUUCGGAUGGAAUCUUAUUGAUUUAGCGGCGGACGGGUGAGUAACGCGUGAGCGACCAACCUUGCACAGGGGGAUAACGGACCGAAAGGUUCACUAAUACCGCAUGAGACCACGGUGUUGCAUGACACAGAGGUCAAAGGAGCAAUCCGGUGCAAGACGGGCUCGCGUCCGAUUAGGUAGUUGGAGGGGUAACGGGCCACCAAGCCUAUGCUCGGUAGCCGACCUGAGAGGGUGAUCGGCCACAUUGGAACUGAGAUACGGUCCAAACUCCUACGGGAGGCAGCAGUGGGGAAUAUUGGGCAAUGGGGGAAACCCUGACCCAGCAACGCCGCGUGAAGGAAGAAGGUUUUCGGAUUGUAAACUUCUGUCCUUGGUGAAGAGAAGAAGACGGUAGCCAAGGAGGAAGCCCCGGCUAACUACGUGCCAGCAGCCGCAGUAA